RNAcentral lists this ribosomal RNA (501 nucleotides) under uncultured bacterium. Its description in RNAcentral is "bacterial SSU rRNA". It matches the Rfam family "Bacterial small subunit ribosomal RNA", at positions 29 to 524 of the family's 1533-position model. The record is from RNAcentral.
AACGAACGCUGGCGGCGCGCCUAAUACAUGCAAGUCGAGCGAGAAGGUGUAGCAAUACACUUGUAAAGCGGCGAACGGGUGAGGAAUGCAUGGGUAACCUACCCUCGAGUGGGGAAUAACUAGCCGAAAGGUUAGCUAAUACCGCAUACGUUUCCGGAACUUCGGUUUCGGAAAGAAAGCAAUACCGUGGGUAUUGCGCUCCUGGAUGGGCUCAUGUCCUAUCAGCUUGUUGGUGAGGUAACGGCUCACCAAGGCUUCGACGGGUAGCUGGUCUGAGAGGACGAUCAGCCACACUGGCACUGCGACACGGGCCAGACUCCUACGGGAGGCAGCAGUAAGGAAUAUUGCGCAAUGGACGAAAGUCUGACGCAGCGACGCCGCGUGGGGGAUGAAGGUCUUCGGAUUGUAAACCCCUUUCGGGAGGGAAGAUGGAGUGGGUAACCACUUGGACGGUACCUCCAGAGCAGCCACGGCUAACUUCGUGCCAGCAGCCGCGGUAAU